This 253-nucleotide ribosomal RNA is filed under the name uncultured bacterium. RNAcentral describes it as "partial 16S ribosomal RNA". It matches the Rfam family "Bacterial small subunit ribosomal RNA", at positions 524 to 776 of the family's 1533-position model. The record is from RNAcentral.
UACGGAGGGUGCAAGCGUUGUCCGGAUUUAUUGGGUUUAAAGGGUGCGUAGGUGGCCUUAUAAGUCAGUGGUGAAAGCCUGCAGCUUAACUGUAGGACUGCCAUUGAUACUGUAGGGCUUGAGUACUGAUGAGGUAGGCGGAAUUGAUAGUGUAGCGGUGAAAUGCAUAGAUAUUAUCAAGAACACCGAUUGCGAAGGCAGCUAACGAAACUAUCACUGACACUGAUGCACGAAAGCGUGGGGAGCGAAUGGG